This 465-nucleotide ribosomal RNA is filed under the name uncultured bacterium. RNAcentral's name for it is "bacterial SSU rRNA". It matches the Rfam family "Bacterial small subunit ribosomal RNA", at positions 338 to 795 of the family's 1533-position model. The record is from RNAcentral.
CCUACGGGUUGCAGCAGUGGGGAAUAUUGCACAAUGGGCGCAAGCCUGAUGCAGCCAUGCCGCGUGUGUGAAGAAGGCCUUCGGGUUGUAAAGCACUUUCAGUCGUGAGGAAGGUAGUGUAGUUAAUAGCUGCAUUAUUUGACGUUAGCGACAGAAGAAGCACCGGCUAACUCCGUGCCAGCAGCCGCGGUAAUACGGAGGGUGCGAGCGUUAAUCGGAAUUACUGGGCGUAAAGCGCAUGCAGGUGGUUUGUUAAGUCAGAUGUGAAAGCCCGGGGCUCAACCUCGGAAUAGCAUUUGAAACUGGCAGACUAGAGUACUGUAGAGGGGGGUAGAAUUUCAGGUGUAGCGGUGAAAUGCGUAGAGAUCUGAAGGAAUACCGGUGGCGAAGGCGGCCCCCUGGACAGAUACUGACACUCAGAUGCGAAAGCGUGGGGAGCAAACAGGAUUAGAUACCCGUGUAGUC